AGUGAACGCUGGCGGUAGGCCUAACACAUGCAAGUCGAACGGCAGCACAGAGGAGCUUGCUCCUUGGGUGGCGAGUGGCGGACGGGUGAGGAAUACAUCGGAAUCUACUCUGUCGUGGGGGAUAACGUAGGGAAACUUACGCUAAUACCGCAUACGACCUACGGGUGAAAGCAGGGGAUCUUCGGACCUUGCGCGAUUGAAUGAGCCGAUGUCGGAUUAGCUAGUUGGCGGGGGAAAGGCCCACCAAGGCGACGAUCCGUAGCUGGUCUGAGAGGAUGAUCAGCCACACUGGAACUGAGACACGGUCCAGACUCCUACAGGAGGCAGCAGUGGGGAAUAUUGGGCAAUGGGCGCAAGCCUGAUCCAGCCAUACCGCGUGGGUGAAGAAGGCCUUCGGGUUGUAAAGCCCUUUUGUUGGGAAAGAAGUCCAUCUGGUUAAUACCCGGGUGGGAUGACGGUACCCAAAGAAUAAGCACCGGCUAACUUCGUGCCAGCCGCCGCGGUAA
Molecule: ribosomal RNA, 506 nt
Filed under: uncultured bacterium
Lineage: Bacteria
Description: partial 16S ribosomal RNA
Rfam family: Bacterial small subunit ribosomal RNA
Source: RNAcentral